Molecule: RNA transcript, 1867 nt
Organism: Haliaeetus leucocephalus (bald eagle)
Lineage: Eukaryota; Metazoa; Chordata; Aves; Accipitriformes; Accipitridae
Gene: SMIM8
Gene name: small integral membrane protein 8
Exons: 4
Source: RefSeq, a predicted model, not a curated record
CCGCCGAGGGGCGAUCCCCGUGCGAGGCGAGGGGAAGUAUUCAACAUCAAUUAAAAUGUCUUCCACCAGACCUCCAAAUGAACAAGAAACACUCAAAGAGAGAAAACCAGGACUGAGGAAUGUUCAAACAACUAUGCUCUUCCGAGCUGUGAACCCAGAGCUUUUUAUUAAACCUAACAAACCUGUGAUGGCAUUUGGACUUAUAGCCAUUACCCUCUGUGUGGCCUACCUUGGUUAUUUGCAUGCAACAGCAGAGAAUAAAAAGGACCUCUAUGAAGCAGUUGACAGCGAGGGGUCCAGAUAUAUGAGGAGGAAGACUUCUAAGUGGGACUGAGGACAUAAGGAAGGAAAUGAGCAAAUCAGUCACAGAACUUUUCAAGGCAACUACUAUUUUUUUCUCUGUCCAUUGAAAUAACGGAUAAAUGUCUCUCUUGCUAUUUAAUCCAAUUUAAGUUUCUUUAUAAAACGCUGUGCCUGUACAAAUAAAUUGCAAUUAAGAUAUGUGCGAACAUAAAAGUGAUUUUUAGAAUUGUUACGAUCUCCACAGUAUGCAAGAAGAUAAAUUACCUUGGACGUGCAGUCAAGACUGGCACAGAGAAAAGAACAUAUCCACCUGAACAAGCCCAUUCUUGCCGAACAGCCCCGCAUGCAAGUUGGAGGUGGCCCCUCGGCAGUAUGCUGGUUGGUGCUGCCGUGAGUGUGGCUGGAGGGCAGGCGGGCGUUGUGGCGUUCCUUUAGCACAUGUGGUGGUCGGUCAUCUGUGAGCCUUUACCUUGAGCAAACUGUACAGGUGGGUGCUUUCCUGUUCCAGCACUGGUGUCUUUUCCUGUGAGCUUCUCUAGCUACUUUGGUGUGCCUGACAUUUCCUAGAUGGUAUCUCAUUAACCAAACUCCAGAAUGCAUGGUGGGAGGGCGCAUGCCAGGCCGGGCCCUUUUUGCACCUCAGACCCUUAUUAACAUUCUGGUUGCAUUUUUGCAUUCAGCUCCUCAUAUUUACAGCCCCAUCAAGGGCUCCAAAGAAGUUGAGAGACCUCUCUGUUAACCUCUGCUGGCCAAGGUGGCUUCUGUCAGGCCAAAGAAGAAAGAACAUGCAGGGACAUCUGCUUUGCCACUCUGGGAAUUGCUUUGGGUUUUGUUAUCAAAGGAUUUUGUUAUGACUGACUGCCUUGAGCAACAGCAGUUGCUCUAUGGGAUUUCUCUGUAUCUCCCUCUAAAUCCUUCACUUUGAACCUGUGAUUUUCCUCCUGUUUGUCUUUUAUAGUUACCGUAUCCUAAAUUCAGCUGGACCUUGGUUUGGCUACCUGCUUCCUGAGAAGGGAAGUGAGGUCUACCUUUGAUAAAGCCAUUUAAAAAAUAGCAUUUUUACAGCCUUUAAAAGGGCAUUCCCCUCUGUGAGCCUAGUUGCCUCACAGCGGCAAGGUCCUGGGCAAAUCCAAAAGCAUGCAGAUGAGGAAACCACUUGCCUUUUGAUUGGUGAAGGCAUUUCCAGGUGAGCUGAUCAAAUAUUCAGAACUAUCACAUGCUGUGCAUAUCCUGUAGAAUAUGUUUUCUUUGAUCUGAUAUGAUGAAUCUUUAGAAUUAACCUGUUCUUUUAAAAAGGGUCACACAGGAUUUUAGCUCUCUUCAGUUUAUGAAAAUGUACAAGUCUCGUAUGUUUGUGUGAAUUUAACUAAAGUAUUCCAAAAUCAGUGAUACAGUAAGGAUUUUAACCUGGUUUUCUGCAGGCUUUUAAAAUACACACUUUGAUCCUUACACCUGCAGGUGAUUCAAAGUGAGAAAGCCCAGUCUCUCAUUUUCACAUAUUUGGGAAUAAUGCAGGAUUUGGGUUCUCAGAAUUCUGAAUUACAUUUUGUGAAGUGAAUAUGAA